RNAcentral lists this ribosomal RNA (642 nucleotides) under uncultured bacterium. RNAcentral's name for it is "bacterial SSU rRNA". It matches the Rfam family "Bacterial small subunit ribosomal RNA", at positions 63 to 696 of the family's 1533-position model. The record is from RNAcentral.
CGAGGGGCAUCGGGAGGGAAGCUUGCUUUCCUUGCCGGCGACCGGCGCACGGGUGAGUAACACGUAUGCAACCUGCCCUCUUCAGGGGGACAACCUUCCGAAAGGGAGGCUAAUCCCGCGUAUAUCGGUUUCGGGCAUCCGUUAUCGAGGAAAGAUUCAUCGGAAGAGGAUGGGCAUGCGGCGCAUUAGCUUGACGGCGGGGUAACGGCCCACCGUGGCGACGAUGCGUAGGGGUUCUGAGAGGAAGGUCCCCCACACUGGUACUGAGACACGGACCAGACUCCUACGGGAGGCAGCAGUGAGGAAUAUUGGUCAAUGGGAGAGAUCCUGAACCAGCCAAGCCGCGUGAGGGAAGACGGCCCUAUGGGUUGUAAACCUCUUUUGUCGGAGAACAAAACCCGGGACGAGUCCCGGACUGCGUGUAUCCGAAGAAAAAGCAUCGGCUAACUCCGUGCCAGCAGCCGCGGUAAUACGGAGGAUGCGAGCGUUAUCCGGAUUUAUUGGGUUUAAAGGGUGCGUAGGCGGUCCGUUAAGUCAGCGGUAAAAUUGCGGGGCUCAACCCCGUCGAGCCGUUGAAACUGGCAGACCUUAGNUCGCGAGAAGUACGCGGAAUGCGCGGUGUAGCGGUGAAAUGCAUAGAUA